This 351-nucleotide unclassified non-coding RNA is filed under the name uncultured Chaetospermum. RNAcentral's name for it is "sequence contains ITS1". The stretch from base 1 to 105 matches the Rfam family "5.8S ribosomal RNA", at positions 50 to 154 of the family's 154-position model. The record is from RNAcentral. Lineage: Eukaryota; Fungi; Basidiomycota; Agaricomycetes; Sebacinales.
GAAAUGCGAUAAGUAAUGUGAAUUGCAGAAUUCAGUGAAUCAUCGAAUCUUUGAACGCACCUUGCACCCUUUGGUAUUCCGAAGGGUAUGCCCGUUUGAGUGUCAUUGUAAUCUCACACCCAAGACUUCUUGUCGAGGGAGGUGGACUUGGACGUUUGCUGUGUUACUGCGGCUCGUCUCAAAAGUGUUAGCGCGGCUCUAGAUGAAGCGUUGGAUGCCCAGUGUAAUAAGUAUUUCGCUGCGGCUAGCAUUAGUCUUGAGUUGUUGUGCUUACAAUCGUCUUUGGACUGAUCAGCGAUGAUCAUUUGACAACUUGGCCUCAAAUCGGGUAGGACUACCCGCUGAACUUAA